Hylaeus volcanicus is the source of this 1722-nucleotide long non-coding RNA. RefSeq lists it as uncharacterized. The record is from RefSeq and is a predicted model, not a curated record. NCBI's taxonomy places the organism in Eukaryota, Metazoa, Arthropoda, Insecta, Hymenoptera, Colletidae. The transcript has 3 exons.
GACAGAUAUACAUAUAGGAGGUGUUGAAUAACUCAUGCCGGUUGAAAACUGUUCGAAUUUGUCAUCUGUCAGUUUCGCACGAGGCUGACUUCGAGACGCAUUAUCGCAUUUACCGACCACGUGUUGUUUAUCAAUCAAGUCAUGUAUAAUAUCAAGAAUUUGCGUGUAACUACCGUUCUACUGUACCGAUCCUACCCAAAUUACAUCGUUAUUUGUUAGACGUUCCUAGAUCGAUUAAGAUGCGUCCGAGCUGUCGUGUCAAGUUCGCGUUCCUAUAAAUGUUAGGCUUUUACACAGUUUGUGACUGGCCCUAGCAGAUGAGUUUCGUUUGUGCCUCCAAUUACUCUACGAAGUGAAACGAGCGACCAAACGAAGAAAUCUGUGGCGGUUAUCGGAUAUCCCAUGUAAACGAGGGAGAAGAAAAAGAUAAGUGAUCGAAGGCAUUAGUGGAGGUUAUCGGAUGGGAAAUGCCAAUCGAGGUUAUUCCUUCUUGGAAUGGAGGUUUUUUUUUUUUUUUUGUGCUCAAGAUUGUGUCCGGAAGCUUGUACGAGAAGAGAAGAAGCCUGCAAAAGGUGUGUCUUUUGCUGAUACCAUGACAAGAAACUCGUCAUGGACAACAAGUGGAUGUCUGCACCGAUCCUGAUUGUUUGGAGACGAGUGCCAUUGUUAGUGUAGCGUCAGUGAGAUACAGUGUGCGAAUCGGACUGUGAAAUGCAUGAUACAUUGGUUAACAAAUGAAAUUAAGACAAGUUUCUCUAUGCGAUUGGUGUAACUAUGUAUGUUUUGUCGCCUAGGUGUGAGUGAACCUUUUGCAUUCAAGGCCUUUUCUUUUUUCUCUUUUGUAGUAUGUAUCAACAACUCUAGAAUGCUUUCUUAGCUUUGUAAAAUGUAAAUGCAAAGCCAUAUAUUAGCUUGGAAGUUGUACGAUUGCAAUUAAUUUAACAUUUAAUAAUCAAGUUUCCUUUACCUGUCACAGAAUUAUAUGAUUAGUAAUUGGAAUUACAUUGAAAAUUAGACCUUGUAACCAUUAUCUACCUUGAGAUUUACUGCAUCAAGGUAGAUAGUCACAAGUCACUUUUUUUUUUUUUUAAUCUUUAAGACAACACGUUGUACACCCUUUGAUAGAAGCAUGUAUUAGUACGUUGCAGUGUACAAUGUGAUAUUUAUUGGUGAAGAUUCAAUUUAAUGUACCUGAAUACGUAUUGUAACCUAACCUAUGAGUGUAUAGCGAAUGAAUUUGUCCUAUUUGUUGUCAUUGGACCGACUGCCUAUUUAAAUGAACAUGUGAUUGUGUGGCAGGUUACCUAACCCAUAACCAAACGAAGCCUUUGUCUGAAAAGGAAAUUUGUUGCUAUUAACCCUCUGCACUCUGCGUAUAAGAAAGGCACUACAUUAAAAAGCACAUAACUUUGUAUACUAUUUAAUCUUAUAGUAUAUUUAUAUUUAUAAGUAGUAUAGAGCAUAUAUAUAUAUAUAUAAAUAAAGUUAUAGCGUAUAACUUUGUAAAUGUGUCUUUGGUUGGUGCGAUGAUUAUAUGAUUAUUACUUCUUUUAAAUAUAUAUCACGUAUCGUAAUAUAUGUAUUCAAUAUAUUACGAUAUGUGUAAUCUAUAUCCCAUGGGGGCAUAAGUAACAUAUAUAUGGAGUAACUUUAUACUUGGUAGUAAAUCCUAAAUGGAAUUCAUAUUCUCUCCUACUAAUAAAUCAAGUGACAAGGAUUCAA